GAAAACUGUCUGACAGACAUGAGGACCUUGCAAGGUACGCACAUAUCAAAUAUAGUUAUCCUAUUACUUAUAAUAAGAGAGAAUUCAACAUUACAAACCAGAUGCUCCGCAGGGCGUAGCUUUAUACGACCGCAGAGGUUGAACCCUGAACGGUUGGGGCAAGUAUGGACACAACAUUCAAGCUGGAUUCAGCUCUAAAUUUGGAUUGUGAUUAAAUAGUUGACACAGCAUAGGUUUCUGACACAGAAUGAAUGUGUUCUAAUGAACUUAAAAUUUUUGUUUUCUCUUAGAGCAAUUCACUAUGCUGUUGAAUAUUAAUCCUCUCAAAAAAAUGUUUGAAGAAAUUUUCUUUUUUAUUUAUGAAAUUUCAAAU
Molecule: long non-coding RNA, 373 nt
Filed under: Mytilus galloprovincialis (Mediterranean mussel)
Lineage: Eukaryota; Metazoa; Mollusca; Bivalvia; Mytilida; Mytilidae
Source: RNAcentral